CAGGCCUAACACAUGCAAGUCGAACGCACUCUCGUUUAGAUUGAAGGAGCUUGCUCCUGAUUGAUAAACAUUUGAGUGAGUGGCGGACGGGUGAGUAACACGUGGGUAACCUGCCCUAGAGUGGGGGAUAACAUUUGGAAACAGAUGCUAAUACCGCAUAAAACCUAACACCGCAUGGUGUAGGGUUGAAAGAUGGUUUCGGCUAUCACUUUAGGAUGGACCCGCGGUGCAUUAGUUAGUUGGUGAGGUAAAGGCUCACCAAGACCGUGAUGCAUAGCCGACCUGAGAGGGUAAUCGGCCACACUGGGACUGAGACACGGCCCAGACUCCUACGGGAGGCAGCAGUAGGGAAUCUUCCACAAUGGACGAAAGUCUGAUGGAGCAACGCCGCGUGAGUGAAGAAGGUUUUCGGAUCGUAAAACUCUGUUGUUGGAGAAGAAUGUAUCUGAUAGUAACUGAUCAGGUAGUGACGGUAUCCAACCAGAAAGCCACGGCUAACUACGUGCCAGCAGCCGCGGUAAUACGUAGGUGGCAAGCGUUGUCCGGAUUUAUUGGGCGUAAAGCGAGCGCAGGCGGUUUCUUAAGUCUGGUGUGAAAGCCUUCGGCUCAACCGAAGAAGUGCAUCGGAAACUGGGAAACUUGAGUGCAGAAGAGGACAGUGGAACUCCAUGUGUAGCGGUGAAAUGCGUAGAUAUAUGGAAGAACACCAGUGGCGAAGGCGGCUGUCUGGUCUGUAACUGACGCUGAGGC
RNAcentral lists this ribosomal RNA (750 nucleotides) under uncultured bacterium. RNAcentral describes it as "bacterial SSU rRNA". It matches the Rfam family "Bacterial small subunit ribosomal RNA", at positions 43 to 752 of the family's 1533-position model. The record is from RNAcentral.